GACGAACGCUGGCGGCGUGCUUAACACAUGCAAGUCGAACGGAAAGGCCCUGCUUUUGUGGGGUGCUCGAGUGGCGAACGGGUGAGUAACACGUGAGUAACCUACCCUUGACUUUGGGAUAACUUCAGGAAACUGGGGCUAAUACCGGAUAGGAGCUCCUGCUGCAUGGUGGGGGUUGGAAAGUUUCGGCGGUUGGGGAUGGACUCGCGGCUUAUCAGCUUGUUGGUGGGGUAGUGGCUUACCAAGGCUUUGACGGGUAGCCGGCCUGAGAGGGUGACCGGCCACAUUGGGACUGAGAUACGGCCCAGACUCCUACGGGAGGCAGCAGUGGGGAAUAUUGCACAAUGGGCGGAAGCCUGAUGCAGCAACGCCGCGUGCGGGAUGACGGCCUUCGGGUUGUAAACCGCUUUCGCCUGUGACGAAGCGUGAGUAACGGUAAUGGGUAAAGAAGCACCGGCUAACUACGUGCCAGCAGCCGCGGUGAUACGUAGGGUGCGAGCGUUGUCCGGAUUUAUUGGGCGUAAAGGGCUCGUAGGUGGUUGAUCGCGUCGGAAGUGUAAUCUUGGGGCUUAACCCUGAGCGUGCUUUCGAUACGGGUUGACUUGAGGAAGGUAGGGGAGAAUGGAAUUCCUGGUGGAGCGGUGGAAUGCGCAGAUAUCAGGAGGAACACCAGUGGCGAAGGCGGUUCUCUGGGCCUUUCCUGACGCUGAGGAGCGAAAGCGUGGGGAGCGAACAGGCUUAGAUACCCUGGUAGUCCACGCUGUAAACGGUGGGUACUAGGUGUGGGGUCCAUUCCACGGGUUCCGUGCCGUAGCUAACGCUUUAAGUACCCCGCCUGGGGAGUACGGCCGCAAGGCUAAAACUCAAAGGAAUUGACGGGGCCCCGCACAAGCGGCGGAGCAUGCGGAUUAAUUCGAUGCAACGCGUAGAACCUUACCUGGGUUUGACAUGGAUCGGGAGUGCUCAGAGAUGGGUGUGCCUCUUUUGGGGUCGGUUCACAGGUGGUGCAUGGCUGUCGUCAGCUCGUGUCGUGAGAUGUUGGGUUAAGUCCCGCAACGAGCGCAACCCUUGUUCACUGUUGCCAGCACGUUAUGGUGGGGACUCAGUGGAGACCGCCGGGGUCAACUCGGAGGAAGGUGGGGAUGACGUCAAGUCAUCAUGCCCCUUAUGUCCAGGGCUUCACGCAUGCUACAAUGGCUGGUACAGAGAGUGGCGAGCCUGUGAGGGUGAGCGAAUCUCGGAAAGCCGGUCUCAGUUCGGAUUGGGGUCUGCAACUCGACCUCAUGAAGUCGGAGUCGCUAGUAAUCGCAGAUCAGCAACGCUGCGGUGAAUACGUUCCCGGGGCU
RNAcentral lists this ribosomal RNA (1346 nucleotides) under uncultured bacterium. RNAcentral's name for it is "partial 16S ribosomal RNA". It matches the Rfam family "Bacterial small subunit ribosomal RNA", at positions 28 to 1381 of the family's 1533-position model. The record is from RNAcentral.